This 3690-nucleotide long non-coding RNA is filed under the name Pollicipes pollicipes. RNAcentral's name for it is "uncharacterized LOC119113228". Lineage: Eukaryota; Metazoa; Arthropoda; Thecostraca; Pollicipedomorpha; Pollicipedidae. The record is from RNAcentral.
ACUCUUCGGUGGCGUCACCGUCACCGUUCAAGGAGGUGAUUGUACCGACCACGGGCACGGAGCCAGUCAACGACAUCCUGCACCACCAGAAGAUCACGCUAAGGCACCUGCAGCCGGCCACCACCUACGACCUGUACAUCCAGGCCAGCAACCGGCACGGCUGGAACGCCGUCUCCGACAUGUUCCACUUCUCCACGCUGUCCAAGGGCGAAGCUCUCGAGUCGAGGAUAGCAAGAGCUGGCGGGCACGAGGUCCGGCAACUGCAUCCCUUCCUCGGAGCGCUGACGGUUUUCGCCUUCAUCCUGCUCCCGGUGAUACUGUGAAGCGUGAGGAGCAGCACAGAGAUCGGAGCUCAUCAGCACCAAUCCCGCAGUACGAGCAACGGUCAAAGACGCAUCAGGGACGAUGGUGGCGACGUGGUGUUAUAAACGAACCGGCAGAUCGACAGUGCAGUUCUCCGGGUGUCGUUGUUGGCUGUGCGUUCCUGGCCAUUGGACGGUCUGGCUGCAGCGUCCCAGGUUGUGGCGCGCCAGCAGACGCCCGCCGCUGCAGCACGGCGCUUACUGCGGCGUGCCAGCGCCACAGGAAGGUCCUGCGUUGUAAUUAGUUCUUCACAACAACGUUCACAUCACAAGUAGAGAGCACUCAUCGGUGGACAAACAGGUCUCUCCUGUCCUGCAUCGACCGGUUGUGGUAGGCCUGUUCCUGCCCUGUGGGUGGGAAAGUAUAGCGAGUGAGGCAACUUGCGCACUGUUGCAAAUAUGUCGCCAGCAUUGAACCAACUCAUGCGGUGUCAAUGUUCACAUCACAUGUCAUCACGGAUCAAUGCCAGAUCAGCUAGUUUGUAUUUAUGUCGGACGCAUCGCUAGUGUCGUUAGCAUAAGGUCUAGUCACGUAUGUCUUGUACUCUGUAGGAAGGCACAUGAGCGUCGAGUGCUGUCAUCAGAAUCUUACCACGGUUUCAUUCAAGUGUUUUGAGUUUGUUUCAAUCGCUUUGAGUGUUCAGCCAGACCACUGGCAUCAGACACUGCCCUGAUUUUCGAAGUUCGGUUAGAACCGGACCGGAAAUAGAGAUUUUCUUCAUCGACCAAAGUGCAAAACUGUCGACUGGACAUGGAUCGAGGCUUGUUCUGUGCCAUGACUGAGCUCAUCCUCCCGGCCGGCCGACUCGGCCGCUGGUGACACGGCCUGGGUCAGGGUCACCCUGCAGGCAAACGACUACCGACAGCAGGCUUGUGGCGCCAGACCGCGUAUCAUCAUAGUCUGUAUCGAAAUCGAGUGGAAAAUAUUGCAUUGUGGUCCGUGGUGUAAAGAGUUACUUGUGGCCUUACUUCGUCUGGACUUAAUUCUAAAAUCGUUGCAGGGUGCGUUGUGGCGGAAUCGUGUCUUAAGGGAAUGUUCGACACUGUAUGAGGCUUUGAACUGAGUUGGCGAUUUUCAUGAUCCUUUCCUGCAGUUCACAGCCGUGCCCUUUUUAAGACUUAAAGCCCUCUUUGUUUAUGAGCUUGAUACACGCUAACUUGUGCGCCCUGCCACACAUCACCUAUUUGAAAGUCACCCAGACAUGUAUGACGUCAAAGAGACGUCACACGAACACCCGAAGUCAAUGGUUGUUUUGUGCUCAUGGUCAAGACAAAUAUGCCCACGUAAACAUUCAUGUUUGCGCUGGUGCAGCACCAAGAAUCCCAACGGUGAAAACCCAUUGGCUAGCAGUAAGGUCGGGUUGCCGAUUACAUGCCUCGAUCAAGAACCUCACUUUGUCACAACUAACCGAGGUAUUUGGGUACCUACCAAAUUUGACGGAGCUGCCUUAAAAGCGAAUGACGUAACAAUAGUGCCGUAACCGAAAAUGUUAAUUCAAUGAAAAUACGUGGCAUCACGAACAAAUAAGCGAGGACACCACGACGAAAGGCCAAAGCACGUGCUCAUAACACUUAGAAAUAAAACUGACAUGCAUUAAUCAACAAUGUUUCCUUGCAAUGCCUAGAAGUACCACAAUGCGUCGCGCCGUCCUCUACAGCGUCAUCUCUGACAUGGCAACUCUGGCAGAGACUCUGGCGUCAUCAAAACAUUCCAUGAUGUAAUCAUGCGGUGACGUAUUGAGGAGAGAAUUAACAAAUUAGUGUAGUUUUGAAAUUCAGGGCAGUCAUUUGUACUUUUAGCACACCAAUAGUUAGAAGUGAGCAUCACGUCCAAUGCUUGCCUCAGUAUUUCCAAAGGUGGACAGUCCCUUUAGAUGAAAUGCUACAAACAUGAAGAUUUAUCCUUGAGUUCAAUCAAGCAUCAGUUAUGAUGAAAUGAGCUACCUCAUAACUGUUGGUGUACUUUAAAGUGUAAAGACUGCUCUAAAUAACACAAUUUCCCUGUUUAGUAAAUGUGCUCCGAAAUGCGUCAUUGUUUGAUUGCGUCAGGAAACAGUUGCAUGACGUUAAGGUGCUGCUAAACUGCUCGAGCGAAAUUGCCGCCCUAGUACUUAUUAAAAGUGCAUUCAACUUGCCGAAAGAUGGCAGUGAUGGUGAUGCAAGUUGUCGCUGAACCAAAUGUCGUUAUAUGCUCGUGUUUUGGUCCUUUUGCGUGAUGUUUCUGCCUGUUUAUCCCUGAGUUUCAUAUAUUUACGUGUACUAAAAUACUCAUUUAUGGCGCCAUUCUAACGUUAUUCGAUUACAAGCCUUAUUUCUAUCAUAAUUAGAAACCAUGUGCAACUUCUUAUCUUAUGUAGCACAAAACGUGAUUCACGACUGAAAUUUGCACAGCUUACUCAACAUUGGUUUUGAGCCAACUGACGUCCGCUAUAUUUGGAAAUCACAUUCACGGACGCCAGACAUGAACAACUUGACGAUAAUAUUCUUCGUGGCCUUGAACGCCACAUGACGUACGGGUUGGCAAUAUUUGAAUUAUGCUGCCAUGGCAUCAUGCAUGCCAGAAUGGUCUUAAAAUAAUCUGUACGAAAUAGUCGUGCACAUCUUGGCGGGCGGGUAGUUCAGAAAUUGGUGUGCUUUAGGCUUUUAGAGAUGGCAGGGCUGUGAGCUGCACCGAAUAAUUUUUAAAUUGGCUAUUAGGGUUUAAAAUCCAUACAGAUGUGGAGCACUCCCUUUCAAUGCGAAGAAGCUCGAAUUUCCCGCUUUUCCCAUCUAAAGCGACGCGAAAAAUUGGUUUGAUAGCGGCAGUAGAGAACACACGCACUGCAUUCGUUUUUGAUUGACGGUGAAUGGGCUUGCUCGACUGUUUGGUGUGCCUGUACGGACAUUGUUGGCGUCCAUUCCUUCUGAUGACUUGCAUUAUGAGAAUUGUGAACGAACGGUUAAGGUGCCGGCAAAUUUGCGGUUUCAUUUUGAUGUUACGGAUCAGCGCGAUAGGAUCACUGGUACGCAAGUUGUUCUGCGCGCGAACGAUUCUGGGCAUGAUUAGUUUGUUGUGCGGGCAUUGGCGUGGCUAGCUGAAGAAAACAGACCGGGCAAAAUGCUUUGAACAUUCAAAGUAAACAGACAUACGUGUGUGUUUGACAUAGGUGUAUGUUUAAGGCUUAGUUGUUUUAGUUUGCUCGGCAAAUGUAUGAACUUAUGUGUUACGUGUGCUCUGCAUCGCGACGUAAACAAGAUGUUUGAUUCUAAUCAACUUUCUGUGACGUUUAGUCCAUAUGUCUGAUAUCAGCCCCCUAUGACCUGUUGUAAUACACUUGCCAGAUUUGUA